GUUAAGGAAAAGAACAACUGUAAUCCAACUGAAAUAAUUUGUUAUUAAUUUAGUAACUUUAUUUUUCCUACGUAAAGUUCUUUUCUACUAGUAGAAACAAAUUCUCUAUUUAAAAUAUGAAACAGUAAAUUAUUAACUGGGUUAUAAGAAAAAUCUAAUUUUAGGAUGAUUAUGAAGUUUAUUGGCUAUCACAGGACACUUUUUUCCUUCAUAUCCAUUCUUAAAAUAAAGUACAGGUAUAUUUCACUGAUAUAAGAGAGGGAUGUGUAUUUUAAAUACUUUGAGAAAUGGGAUUAUUUUUAAAGCAUUCUUUUGCAGUGGGGGGAUUAAAGUCAAUGACAAUGAUAUGUCUUACAAAUCUGGAUCCUUCAUGUAUUAGGCUUGUAUAAAAUAGGAUCAAUUUAUACAGCUUCGAAAUUGUUUUCUAGGAAAAAUUUCUCAAGUUAGAAUUUGCGAUUUCUUGUAUUGAAUGACUGAAGGAAAACAACUUUUGUGUUGAUCAAAUAUCCAAUUACCCUAAAAUGUUUAUGUUCGUAUUUUUACAACAUGUCUAGACCAUUUACACUGAAGAGUUAGGGUUAUUCUUCAAAUUAAGGGACAAUUAACCUCUAUACAGUACAGAAUGUGCAGAAAACGAGUACUCCCAAACUGUGCAAUUCCUGCCUCUUUUAUGAAGUAAAUUACAUGAAUAUAGAUUCAAUUAGUGGAUGUCACAGCAGAAAUUCAGAGAAAGUUUUUCUGGGACCUGAAUAGAUCUCACGAACCUGUUACACUACCCAGGUUGAGAGGAUGUGCAUUUGAGAGAAUUUCUAAAGACUCCUGCUU
This is a long non-coding RNA of Balaenoptera musculus (blue whale), 825 nucleotides long. RefSeq lists it as uncharacterized. NCBI's taxonomy places the organism in Eukaryota, Metazoa, Chordata, Mammalia, Artiodactyla, Balaenopteridae. The record is from RefSeq and is a predicted model, not a curated record. The transcript has 2 exons.